UGCCUAAUACAUGCAAGUCGAGCGGACUGAUGGGAGCUUGCUCCCAUCAGUCAGCGGCGGACGGGUGAGUAACACGUGGGUAACCUGCCUGUAAGACUGGGAUAACUCCGGGAAACCGGGGCUAAUACCGGAUAACUCAUUUCCUCGCAUGAGGAAAUGUUGAAAGGUGGCUUUUAGCUAUCACUUACAGAUGGACCCGCGGCGCAUUAGCUAGUUGGUGAGGUAACGGCUCACCAAGGCGACGAUGCGUAGCCGACCUGAGAGGGUGAUCGGCCACACUGGGACUGAGACACGGCCCAGACUCCUACGGGAGGCAGCAGUAGGGAAUCUUCCGCAAUGGACGAAAGUCUGACGGAGCAACGCCGCGUGAGUGAUGAAGGUUUUCGGANCGUAAAACUCUGUUGUUAGGGAAGAACAAGUACCGUUCGAAUAGGGCGGUACCUUGACGGUACCUAACCAGAAAGCCACGGCUAACUACGUGCCAGCAGCCGCGGUAAUACGUAGGUGGCAAGCGUUGUCCGGAAUUAUUGGGCGUAAAGCGCGCGCAGGUGGUUCCUUAAGUCUGAUGUGAAAGCCCACGGCUCAACCGUGGAGGGUCAUUGGAAACUUGGGGACUUGAGUGCAGAAGAAGAAAGUGGAA
This 640-nucleotide ribosomal RNA is filed under the name Bacillus sp. SP68. Its description in RNAcentral is "bacterial SSU rRNA". It matches the Rfam family "Bacterial small subunit ribosomal RNA", at positions 45 to 666 of the family's 1533-position model. Lineage: Bacteria; Bacillati; Bacillota; Bacilli; Caryophanales; Bacillaceae. The record is from RNAcentral.